CAACUUAUGAUUCAACUCAAUUUAAAAAUUCAACAAGUUCACCAUUUGAAACAAAACUUCAUUCACAACACAAUCAACUUUUCCAUUCAAGUGUAAGUUUACAUGCAAAGGACAUUAAACCUUCAAGCUAAAUGCAUUUCAUUUCGUCUUGAAUCUCACCAAUCUAAUUUCUAACUGACUAACUAAACAACUGUAACUAACUUAUCCAUUCACAACCGAUUUCGAAUUUCAGAUGAAUUUCAUUAUGAAUUUGAGUGGAAUUUCUAACAAGCUUUUGGUUUUAUUUAAACGCAUCUGCACUGUGAUUUGAGGGGGAUUCUUCAUUUCUGCAUUUUCUCUUCUUCAUUUUGCAUCGAAUCUUCUUCAUUAUGCAUCUAGCUUUCUUCAUCCUGCAACUGAGUUCUUCAUCCUGCAUCCAAUAUUCUUCAUUCCGCAACUGAGUUUCUUUCUCCGUAACUGAGUUUUCCAUUCUACAAUCGGAGAUUCCCAUUCUGCAGUUUGAGUUUUCGACAGGGCAACUCGAUAUUUUCUUCCUUCAACCUAAGAGUGCCGUAUUAUGCCUAACAAACUCAGAAGUAAGAAGAAGUAUAACAGAAAGUGGAAAGGAAGCAAAUACUUCGGUACUCACGCGGAGAUUGUUGUGCUUUCGAUUCCCAGGCAAAUAACUAAGGCAAAUCACGACUUUGAAGGUUAGUUAAG
Molecule: long non-coding RNA, 699 nt
Filed under: Lathyrus oleraceus (garden pea)
Lineage: Eukaryota; Viridiplantae; Streptophyta; Magnoliopsida; Fabales; Fabaceae
Description: Pisum sativum (pea) long non-coding RNA (PSAT_LNC030260)
Source: RNAcentral